RNAcentral lists this transfer RNA (66 nucleotides) under Catara rugosicollis. Its description in RNAcentral is "tRNA-Glu". It matches the Rfam family "tRNA". From Rfam's summary of the family: Transfer RNA (tRNA) molecules are approximately 80 nucleotides in length. Their secondary structure includes four short double-helical elements and three loops (D, anti-codon, and T loops). Further hydrogen bonds mediate the characteristic L-shaped molecular structure. tRNAs have two regions of fundamental functional importance: the anti-codon, which is responsible for specific mRNA codon recognition, and the 3' end, to which the tRNAs corresponding amino acid is attached (by aminoacyl-tRNA synthetases). tRNAs cope with the degeneracy of the genetic code in two manners: having more than one tRNA (with a specific anti-codon) for a particular amino acid; and 'wobble' base-pairing, i.e. permitting non-standard base-pairing at the 3rd anti-codon position. Lineage: Eukaryota; Metazoa; Arthropoda; Insecta; Blattodea; Blattidae. The record is from RNAcentral.
AUUUAUAUAGUUUAAACUAAAACACUACUUUUUCAUAGUAUAAAUAAAGUAAAUCUUUUAUAAAUA